Scleropages formosus (Asian bonytongue) is the source of this 1139-nucleotide long non-coding RNA. NCBI's taxonomy places the organism in Eukaryota, Metazoa, Chordata, Actinopteri, Osteoglossiformes, Osteoglossidae. The record is from Ensembl.
CAGAGCGGCUGGACUGUGGAUUGUUGCUGGCAAGAGGCUGGUGAGUUCUAUCCUUCAUCGCUGUGUAAUAUGCCGAAAGCUCAGGGGGAAGGUAGAAGUGCAAAAGAUGGCUGACCUCCCUCCGGAGCGGCUCAACACAUCUCCACCCUUCACGUACGUGGGGCUGGACAUAUUUGGACCAUGGUCGGUGGUCACUCGACGCACUCGUGGAGGUGCAGCGCAAAGCAAAAGGUGGGCCAUUCUGUUCACAUGUAUGAGUACCAGGGGAGUACACAUCGAAGUUAUAGAGUCUAUGGAUGCCACCAGCUGUAUCAAUGCAUUGCGGAGAUUCUUUGCAGUUAGAGGCCCCGCAAAGCAGCUUAGGUCAGACAGGGGGACUAACUUCGUCGCUGCCAGCGCGGAACUGGGCAUGGGGUGUCUUGAUGAGAGGCAGACCAGCAUCCUGAAGUAUCUCCACAGCAACGGCUGCACAUGGAAGUUCAAUCCCCCGCACGCCUCCCACAUGGGGGGAGUGUGGGAGCGUAUGAUUGGGGUGACACGCAGAAUAUUAGACUCUAUGCUUUUACAAAACAAACGCACUCACCUGACACAUGAGGUUCUGUGUACCCUGAUGGCAGAGACCUCAGCAAUAAUCAACGCAAGGCCGCUGGUCCCCAUCUCAUCGGAUCCCUCCUCACCAGUUCUGCUAUCCCCUGCCAUGCUCCUAACUCAAAAGCCAGGCCUACAUGCUCCACCAGGAAUCUUCACUGGAAAAGAUCUCCUGAAAGGCCAGUGGAGGCAAGUGCAAGCGCUUGCGAACGAAUUCUGGGGCCGUUGGAGAAACGAAUACCUAAGCACGCUCCAUUCAAGACGCAAGUGGCACAGAACGCAUCGGAACCUGCAACCUGGGGACAUUGUGCUGUUACACCAAAGUCAAGCGCCUAGGAAUGAGUGGCCAAUGGCUCUGGUCACGUCAACCUCUCCAAGCAGCGAUGGAAAGGUCCGCACAGUUGAAGUACGGACAUCAUCUCAGGGCACCUCGAAGACUUACCUGCGGCCCAUCUCCGACGUCGUCCUCCUGCUGGAAAAUGACUGGGAAGAACGGGAUUGAAAAGGACAGGGAGAAAACAGCUUAAAUUUAGUGGCAUUAGUCAUGCCAG